This 69-nucleotide transfer RNA is filed under the name Lethocerus indicus. Its description in RNAcentral is "tRNA-Gln". The record is from RNAcentral. Lineage: Eukaryota; Metazoa; Arthropoda; Insecta; Hemiptera; Belostomatidae.
UAUGCUUAGGUGUAUGGUGCACGGAGAAUUUUGAGUUCUUAAGUUACGGGUCACUCCUGUAAAGUAUAA